Oncorhynchus tshawytscha (Chinook salmon) is the source of this 5731-nucleotide long non-coding RNA. NCBI's taxonomy places the organism in Eukaryota, Metazoa, Chordata, Actinopteri, Salmoniformes, Salmonidae. The record is from Ensembl.
UUCUAAUGUUGAUACAGGCUAUGGUCAACCUGUUGAUGGAUUCUAAUGUUGAUACAGACUAUGGUCAACCUGUUGAUGGAUUCUAAUGUUGAUACAGGCUAUGGUCAACCUGUUGAUGGAUUCUAAUGUUGAUACAGGCUAUGGUCAACCUGUUGAUGGAUUCUAAUGUUGAUACAGGCUAUGGUCAACCUGUUGAUGGAUUCUAAUGUUGAUACAGACUAUGGUCAACCUGUUGAUGGAUUCUAAUGUUGAUACAGGCUAUGGUCAACCUGCUGAUGGAUUCUAAUGUUGAUACAAGCUAUGGUCAACCUGCUGAUGGUGCCUGAACAGCAUAUCUGUGUCUGUCUGCUAAGCCUUUUUAAAGUCGUCUUUAUGGAGACAUUCUAUAGUGUUGUUAUGUAGUCUGUAGUCCCAGCCACGUCAGCACUUUACAGCAGGUAGAGACCCUGGAGUUCAACAUCAAUGACUUUAUAGCAUGUAGAGACCCUGGAGCUCAACAUCAAUGACUUUAUAGCGGGUAGAAACCCUGGAGUUGAACAUCAAUGACUUUAUAGCAGGUAGAGACCCUGGAGUUGAACAUCAAUGACUUUAUAGCAGGUAGAAACCCUGGAGCUCAACAUCAAUGACUUUAUAGCGGGUAGAAACCCUGGAGUUGAACAUCAAUGACUUUAUAGCAGGUAGAGACCCUGGAGUUGAACAUCAAUGACUUUAUAGCAGGUAGAAACCCUGGAGUUGAACAUCAAGGACUUUAUAGCAGGUAGAAACCCUGGAGUUGAACAUCAAUGGCUUUAUAGCAGGUAGAGACCCUGGAGUUGAACAUCAAUGACUUUAUAGCAGGUAGAAACCCUGGAGUUGAACAUCAAUGACUUUAUAGCAGGUAGAGACCCUGGAGUUGAACAUCAAGGACUUUAUAGCAGGUAGAAACCCUGGAGUUGAACAUCAAUGACUUUAUAGCAGGUAGAGACCCUGAAGUUGAACAUCAAGGACUUUAUAGCAGGUAGAAACCCUGGAGUUGAACAUCAAUGACUUUAUAGCAGGUAGAGACCCUGGAGUUGAACAUCAAACACUGAUUGAACAGAAAACCACCGACAGAUCAUGUCUUGUCUGUCUGCAGCAGUAGUCACAAGAGGACUGUCAUUAAAUGUUUGUUUUUUUGUUGAUACUAUUAGAAGUGAUAGACCUGUAAUGAUGGCCACACAAUACAGAAUACCCAGCACAGAAAUAGCACAGGAUCUAAAGUGCAGGCACAAACAUAGAAGCCCUCUCGAUUGUGGAUCACAGCCACAGGAUGCUAGAGACUGCUUGUGGAUCACAGCCAUAGGAUGCUAGGGACUGCUUGUGGCUCACAGCCACAGGAUGCUAGGGACUGCUUGUGGAUCACAGCCACAGGAUGCUAGGGACUGCUUGCAGAUCACAGCCACGGGUAAAUUAUGGAUUACCAAUUAGAGAGCUAGAAUCACUUGAACUAUUAUUGAUGGAGGGAGAGGGAGAGGGAGAAGGGGGGGAGAGAGAGAGAGAGAGAGAGAGAGAGAAAAUAGUAACCAUCAUACAGUACUCAAAUCAAAUGACAUUUGAUUAGUCACAUGCACCUAAUACAACAGGUGUAGACCUUACAGGGAAAUGCUUACUUAUGAGCCCCUAAUCAACAAUGCAGUUAAAUAAAAACAGAAUAAGAAAUAAAAGUAAUAAGCAAUUAAAGAGCAGCAGUAAAUUAACAAUAGCGAGACUAUAUACAGGGGAUACCGGUAUAGAGUCAAUGUGGAGGCUAUAUACAGGGGGGGUACCGGUACAGAGUCAAUGUGGAGGCUAUAUACAGGGGGGUACCAGUACAGAGUCAAUGUGGAGGUUAUAUACAGGGGGUACUGGUACAGAGUCAAUGUGGAGGCUAUAUACAGGGGGUACCGGUACAGAGUCAAUGUGGAGGCUAUAUACAUGGGGUACCGGUACAGAGUCAAUGUGGAGGCUAUAUACAGGGGGUACUGGUACAGAGUCAAUGUGGAGGUUAUAUACAGGGGGUACAGGUACAGAGUCAAUGUGGAGGCUAUAUACAGGAGGUACCGGUACAGAGUCAAUGUGGAGGUUAUAUACAGGGGGUACAGGUACAGAGUCAAUGUGGAGGCUAUAUACAGGUGGUACUGGUACAGAGUCAAUGUGGAGGCUAUAUACAUGGGGUACCGGUACAGAGUCAAUGUGGAGGCUAUAUACAGGGGGUACCGGUACAGAGUCAAUGUGGAGACUAUAUAUAGGGGGUACCGGUACAGAGUCAAUGUGUGGGGGUAGAGUUAUUAAAGUGACUAUGCAUAGGUGACAACAACAGAGAGUAGCAGCGUUGUAAAGGAGAGGGGAGGAGGGCAAAGCAAAUGGCUAGCCAUUUGAUUAGAUGUUCAGGAGUCUUAUGGCUUCGGGGUAGAAGCUGUUUAGAAGCCUCUUGGACUCCAACUUUAAUGUCACCCAGGCAGCUUCUGCCAAAGUGUGGUCUCUGUGUGGUCUGACACUCCCCAGGGGGAUCUGGCUGUCUGGUCUGACACUACCCAGGGGGAGCUGUCUGUCUGGUCUGACACUCCCCAGGGGGAGCUGGCUGUCUGGUUUGACACUUCCCAGGAGGAGAGAGACAAGAAGGUGUUUAUGCACAAGGGCCCGAUUCCGACGUAGGAAUUCAUUCCUUUCCUACACACUUCUCAGUAGUUGGUAUUCAGACUUACCUUAUGCAGAUGCAUAACUGGCUUUGCAGGCUCCCUUGUGAGCGUUAAAUAAAUGUAAUUCAACCACUUACAAACCCUCUCACUCGCUGGCCAACAGAUUUUCUUGUGGAGUAUUCAAUCAAAAGAGUUUUCAGGACAUUUAUCUUAAGCCAUCCCUUUACAGUGUACCUUUAAUUAGAAUAAUUAGAAUUGAAUUAGAAUACAUGAAUAUGGUCGACAGACUAGAAUACAUAGAGAGACAGGUUCAGAAUAUUAGGGAUCAAUUUUAAAAAAGCCAUCUAAAUAUCUGUAUAUUUGUCUCGGUUUCAACACCAAGUGGUAGAUACAUUUUUUUUUUAAAUACUCUCAUUAAGGCACAAUUUUAGGAUUAUAUAUUAAUGUAUUUUUUUUUUUAAACAGGUUUGGAGAUCUCUAAGCACCUAAUAUAUUGAUAAAUCAAAAAUACAGUGGUUUGAUUCAUUCUGAAAAUGUGUCACAUUCAGUUCUACAACCCAUGAUAAUGUUGGAAGAUUAGUGUACAUAAAAUUAUAAUAGGGACAAUAGUGUACAAUAGUAGGCUAUAUCCUCCUCUAUUUCCUGCACUAGCCAUAGAACUGUGUGAUGUCACAGCCAAGUAUUGCACUGUGUCAGGGUCAAAUUUCUCCAUAACAUUUAAAUUAGCCUACAUGUCUUCUUAUAUAUUACUAUAUAUAUAUUAUAUAUUACUAUAUUAUAUAUUACUAAUGAUACUCAGCAACAACGCCGUGGUCAUGAAGGAGUUUACAGAGGACAAAAAUGAAGGUAAAUAAAACAAUUGGGGCGGCAGGGUAACCUAGUGGUUAGAGCGUUGGACUAGUAACUGGAAGGUUGCAAGUUCAAAUCCCUGAGUUGACAAGGUACAAAUCUGUCAUUCUGCCCCUGAGCAGGCAGUUAAACCCACUGUUCCUAGGCUGUCAUUGAUUAUAAGAAUUUGUUCUUAACUGACUUGCCAAUUAAAUGGAAUGAUAAUAUAGGCUACACCAACUGUUUAAAUUGUAAUAUGUGUGGUUAUUAGGUCUACUGACGGUCAAUAGUGGUGUUUGACAUGACAGAGAAAGUCAAGGUAGCCUGUAAUUACAAUGUUUCAGAGUGCUCAUACCUGCAAGAUGUACAAUUCCAAACCUGCACAAACUUUAUUUAACUAGGGAAGUCAAGAACAAAUCCAUAUUUUCAAUGACAGCCUACCUGGGAAGAGUAGGUUAACUGCCUUGUUCAGGGGUAGAACUACAGAUUUUUUCACCCUUGUCAGCUCAGGGAUUCAAUCUUGCAACCUUCUGGUUACUAAUCCUACGCUGUAACCACUAGGCUACCCUGCCGCCCCAACAGACCUGCCAUAUGACUGGUUUCGCAUUUGUCUCCAGCGAUCAUAUGGUUCAAUAGCUCUAAAACAAGCCUCAUUUAUAUUUACAUUUCCCUUAUCCAAAACGGAUUACUCAAAUACCUAACUCUUGUCAAUAGCGCUUAUUAAAUUGGUGUUAUUUCAAUCUGAAAAAAAGACAAAUAAAUGAGAUACCUUUUCCUCACCUUUUAUUAAUGGUUUCCUUGCACAUAAAGGUGGUAGAAUUACUUUGGGAAUGAAGUCAGAAUACCAUCUAUCUGUAGGCACACCAUCAAUCUCCACCCUAAACGAGUAGUGUGUGAAUAGCACCAAUGUGAAUCGAAAUAGGGGCCAGGGCUUUUACUCGACAAUUUGCCUAAGAGAACGUUCAAUUCCCUAAAUCACUUAUUGAGGUGAUGUAAUGUCAACUCCAGAUGGCCUGUAUGUAUUAUCAUCACUGUCUCAUUACUGCCUUGUACAAGUACAAUAAAUGAAACAUGUGUAGACUAACUCGAUUUCUCUCAACAUGACAGUGAUAGUGUAUUCAUUUACUUAAUAGUGAUAAUAUGCUUUAUUCUGUGAUUUGAUCAAUAACUUAUCUACAGUACUUACAAGGGGAAGCCCAGGAAUGUAUCAUUUGAUGUUAGAAGAUUCCUCACCCUGAAAUGAGUCCUUAUGCCCCAUUCACUUCCAUUGAGUGUUAUAGCUAGUAGUAGCUGUAGUUAGCUGCAGUUUGUAUUAGCUGUUUGGAGAAAACAGUUUCUCCUGGCCCAUAGACGGCUUUCAGGGUGAGAAACCAUGGAACAUCAAGUUGUAGAAUUCUGAACCUACCCCUUUUAUUCUGUAUAUUUACUCUGUAGGCAUUGAUGUACAUUCUGUCCCUUCACAAUGAAGUUAUCUAUAGUGUAAGUGACCAGGAGAAUACUUGAGCUGUAUAUAAUAAUUGUAUAUUUUGAGAUAUUUCAGAUUUUUGUACGUAAUGUACCCUUAUUGUGUCUGUAGAUUUAUGAUGUAAAAAAUAUUAGUGUGAAAUUGUUGUUUUCAAUCCAAAUAACUGGAGAGAUUGUACUUUGGCGUGUGUCUGUGUGCUCUUGUGUGUGAGUGAGUAUGUGGUGUGCUUACGUGUAUGUGUGUGUGUAAGUCUGGUGUGAGUGAGUGUGUGAUUCUGUGUUCAUGUAGAUGUCAUUGUUCAAACUGGUUGUGUGUUUCUUGAUUUCCACCUUCAGUGUUGUGUGAGCUUUACUGACUGUAAUCAAGUAGAUAUGACUCACUUGUAAUGACUUGGGACCACUGACUUCUUUAAGCAAUCUGUACGUGUUCUGUGUCUCUUCAGCUGCUCUACGGGACAACUCUCUGUUCUCCACACAAAUUACAACUUGAACAUGGAAUAAAAUAGUGUGAGAAUUCAGGAGCGUCAAUACUAGUAACAACCAAUGUUUUUUUGUCUUAGACAAAAACAUUGAGGGAAAAUGAAAUAAAAGUUAGCACUUUUAUGAACCACGUUAUACUGUGUGUUGGUAGUGUCAUUUAUUUGAAUACAUUUUAUUUUAUUUCAUUCGAAUGGGAUUGUCACGUGUGCUCUCUGGUUUGAGAGUCUAACAUUGUUACCUGUCUGUCAACAAGCAACUUGGAGUCUAACACACUAUGUCUGUUUUGUUAACUAGCAGAAACUGAAGCUACAGUAGCUUGUUGG